UACGGGGGGAGCAAGCGUUGUUCGGAUUUACUGGGCGUAAAGGGCGCGUAGGCGGCCACUGCAAGUCAGUUGUGAAAUCUCCGGGCUUAACCCGGAAAGGUCAACUGAUACUGCAGGGCUAGAGUGCAGAAGGGGCAACUGGAAUUCUCGGUGUAGCGGUGAAAUGCGUAGAUAUCGAGAGGAACACCUGUGGCGGAGGCGACUCUCUGGGCUGUAACUGACGCUGAGGCGCGAAAGCGUGGGGAGCAAACAGG
RNAcentral lists this ribosomal RNA (254 nucleotides) under uncultured bacterium. RNAcentral describes it as "partial 16S ribosomal RNA". It matches the Rfam family "Bacterial small subunit ribosomal RNA", at positions 524 to 776 of the family's 1533-position model. The record is from RNAcentral.